RNAcentral lists this ribosomal RNA (295 nucleotides) under Leptographium sp. RJ-T0112. RNAcentral's name for it is "partial 28S ribosomal RNA". It matches the Rfam family "Eukaryotic large subunit ribosomal RNA", at positions 1 to 290 of the family's 3401-position model. Lineage: Eukaryota; Fungi; Ascomycota; Sordariomycetes; Ophiostomatales; Ophiostomataceae. The record is from RNAcentral.
UUCUAAGGUUGACCUCGGAUCAGGUAGGAUUACCCGCUGAACUUAAGCAUAUCAAUAAGCGGAGGAAAAGAAACCAACAGGGAUUGCCCCAGUAACGGCGAGUGAAGCGGCAACAGCUCAGAUUUGGAAUCUGGCCUUCGGGCCCGAGUUGUAAUCUGGAGAGGAUGCUUCUGGCGCGGUGCCUUCCGAGUUCCCUGGAACGGGACGCCGGAGAGGGUGAGAGCCCCGUACGGUUGGACACCUAGCCUCUGUGAAGCUCCUUCGACGAGUCGAGUAGUUUGGGAAUGCUGCUCAA